RNAcentral lists this microRNA precursor (72 nucleotides) under Homo sapiens (human). Its description in RNAcentral is "mir-3689 microRNA precursor family". It matches the Rfam family "mir-3689 microRNA precursor family". The record is from Rfam by way of RNAcentral. Lineage: Eukaryota; Metazoa; Chordata; Mammalia; Primates; Hominidae.
GGGAGGUGUGAUCCCGUGCUCCCCAGGAGGUCUGAUCCCGUGCUUCCUGGGAGGUGUGAUAUCGUGGUUCCU